RNAcentral lists this ribosomal RNA (497 nucleotides) under uncultured bacterium. RNAcentral describes it as "bacterial SSU rRNA". It matches the Rfam family "Bacterial small subunit ribosomal RNA", at positions 8 to 503 of the family's 1533-position model. The record is from RNAcentral.
AGAGUUUGAUCCUGGCUCAGAUUGAACGCUGGCGGCAGGCCUAACACAUGCAAGUCGAGCGAGAAAGGCCUUCGGGCCGAGUACAGCGGCGGACGGGUGAGUAACGCGUAGGAAUCUACCCGGUAGUGGGGGACAACAUGGUGAAAACCAUGCUAAUACCGCAUACGCCCUAUGGGGGAAAGCGGGGGAUCUUCGGACCUCUCGCCAUUUGAUUAGCCCAAGUGAGAUUAGCUAGUUGGUAAGGUAAUGGCUUACCAAGGCGACGAUCUCUAGCUGGUUUGAGAGGAUGAUCAGCCACACUGGGACUGAGACACGGCCCAGACUCCUACGGGAGGCAGCAGUGGGGAAUAUUGCACAAUGGGCGAAAGCCUGAUGCAGCCAUGCCGCGUGUGUGAAGAAGGCCUUCGGGUUGUAAAGCACUUUCAGUUGUGAGGAAAGGAGUGUAGUUAAUAGCUUGCAUUCUGUGACGUUAACAACAGAAGAAGCACCGCUAACUU